RNAcentral lists this ribosomal RNA (448 nucleotides) under Melanorivulus egens. Its description in RNAcentral is "partial 16S ribosomal RNA". It matches the Rfam family "Bacterial large subunit ribosomal RNA", at positions 1910 to 2514 of the family's 2925-position model. The record is from RNAcentral. Lineage: Eukaryota; Metazoa; Chordata; Actinopteri; Cyprinodontiformes; Rivulidae.
CUGUGACACAAUGUUCAACGGCCGCGGUAUCUUGACCGUGUGAAGGUAGCGUAAUCAUUUGUCUUUUAAAUGGAGACCUGUAUGAAUGGCGUAACGAGAGCUUAACUGUCUCACUCUUUUAGUCGAUGAAAUUGAUCUCCCCGUGCAGAAGCGGGGAUAAACACAUAAGACGAAAAGACCCUAUGGAGCUUCAGAAUCUAGAGCAGCCCAAACGAAUUUAAACAAAAUUCAGGACCCUGCUCUCACAUUUCUUCGGUUGGGGCGACCAUGGAGAAAAACAAAACCUCCACGAAAAAAGUACCAAUACUUGAAUGAAUUAACGAGAUACAACUCUAAAUUCCAGAAUAUCUGCUUUUAAAUGAUCCGGCCUAUUUUUAAGCCGACCAACGAAUCAAGUUACCCUAGGGAUAACAGCGCAAUCCCCUUCUAGAGCCCACAUCGACAAGGG